Molecule: ribosomal RNA, 476 nt
Filed under: uncultured bacterium
Lineage: Bacteria
Description: partial 16S ribosomal RNA
Rfam family: Bacterial small subunit ribosomal RNA
Source: RNAcentral
GAUGAACGCUGGCGGCGUGCCUAACACUUGCAAGUCGAACGAUGAUUGAGAGCUUGCUCUCAUGAUUAGUGGCGCACGGGUGAGUAUACCAUAGAUAAUGUACCUCUUAGUUCGGGAUAGCCACUGGAAACGGUGAUUAAUACCGGAUACUCCUUCUUGUCUCAAGGCAAGUCGGGAAAGUUUUUUCGCUAAGAGAUCAGUCUAUGUCCUAUCAGCUAGUUGGUGAGGUAAUGGCUCACCAAGGCAAUGACGGGUAUCUGGUUUGAGAGGAUGAUCAGACACACUGGAACUGAGACACGGCCCAGACUCCUACGGGAGGCAGCAGUGAGGAAUAUUGCACAAUGGAGGAAACUCUGAUGCAGCAACGCCGCGUGGAGGAUGACGCAUUUCGGUGUGUAAACUCCUUUUAAGAGGGAAGAUAAUGACGGUACCUCUUGAAUAAGCACCGGCUAACUCCGUGCCAGCAGCCGCCGUAA